UCUUCCGUAGUAUAGUGAUCAGUAUGUGAGCUUGUCAAACCCCCUUGUUGGGAUGUCAUCGCUCGAGACCCGGGUUCAAUUCCCGGCGGGAGAG
RNAcentral lists this transfer RNA (94 nucleotides) under Immersiella caudata. RNAcentral's name for it is "Cercophora caudata tRNA". It matches the Rfam family "tRNA". From Rfam's summary of the family: Transfer RNA (tRNA) molecules are approximately 80 nucleotides in length. Lineage: Eukaryota; Fungi; Ascomycota; Sordariomycetes; Sordariales; Lasiosphaeriaceae. The record is from Rfam by way of RNAcentral.